UACAGGGGGUGCAAGCGUUGUUCGGAAUUACUGGGCGUAAAGGGCUCGUAGGCGGUUUGUCGCGUCGGGAGUGAAAUCCACUGGCUUAACUGGUGGCUUGCUUUCGAUACGGGCAGACUGGAGGUAUGCAGGGGAGAACGGAAUUCCUGGUGUAGCGGUGAAAUGCGCAGAUAUCAGGAGGAACACCGGUGGCGAAGGCGGUUCUCUGGACAUGUCCUGAUGCUGAGGAGCGAAAGUGUGGGGAGCGAACAGG
Molecule: ribosomal RNA, 253 nt
Filed under: uncultured bacterium
Lineage: Bacteria
Description: partial 16S ribosomal RNA
Rfam family: Bacterial small subunit ribosomal RNA
Source: RNAcentral